AGCCAACUCUAGCCCAACCACAUAACUAAAAUGUCAAUUAAAAAUCUACUUAAUUCCUAAAACUAAAACAUUCUUUAAACUUAGUAUGGGCGAUAGAAAAGACAUUUUGGCGCGAUAGAGAUUUCGUACCGUAAGGGAAAGGUGAAAUAGUAAUGAAAAACAAAGCAACAAAUAGCAAAGAUAAGCCCUUGUACCUUUUGCAUCAUGAUUUAGCAAGAACAACCAAGCAAAACGAAUUUAAGCUUGCCACCCCGAAACCCGAGCGAGCUACUUGCGAGCAGCUAUUCAUGAGCGAACCCGUCUCUGUUGCAAAAGAGUGGGAUGACUUGCUAGUAGAGGUGAAAAGCCAACCGAGCCGGGUGAUAGCUGGUUGCCUGUGAAAUGAAUCUAAGUUCUCUCUUGAUUUUACUUUCCCGGAUACAAUUUUAACCCUAAUGUAAACAAAUCAAGAUUAAUUUAAAGGGGGUACAGCUCCUUUAAAAAAGAAAACAAUCUCUGCUAGCGGAUAACUACUCAACCCCCCCCAACCGUGGGCCUUCAAGCAGCCAUCAACAAAGAGUGCGUCACAGCUCUACAUACAAAAAAUUUAAGAAACAAAACGAGUCCCUUUCCACUAACGGGCUAACCUAUGUUAAUAGGAGAAUUAAUGCUAAAAUGAGUAACUAGGGAUUUCCUCCCUCCCAAGCGCAAACUUACAUCCUCACAUUAUUAACAGACCAUAAACUAAUAUCCUAAGUCUAACAAGAUUACAAUAUUAACCUCACUCUGUUACCCCGACUCAGGUGCGCCUGCUAGAAAGAUUAAAAUCUGUAAAAGGAACUAGGCAAAUCCCAAGGCCCGACUGUUUACCAAAAACAUAGCCUUCAGCCAACCAAGUAUUGAAGGUGAUGCCUGCCCAGUGACAAAAUGUUUAACGGCCGCGGUAUCCUAACCGUGCGAAGGUAGCGCAAUCAAUUGUCCCAUAAAUCGAGACUUGUAUGAAUGGCUAAACGAGGUCUUAACUGUCUCUUACAGAUAAUCAGUGAAAUUGAUCUCCCUGUUCAAAAGCAGGGAUAACUCCAUAAGACGAGAAGACCCUGUGGAACUUAAAAAUCAACAGCCACUGCCUAUAAACCUAAACCUAACAGGCCCACGACUACCAAAAUGCUGGCUGACAUUUUUCGGUUGGGGCGACCUUGGAGAAAAACAAACCCUCCAAAAAUAGGACCACACCUCUUAACCAAGAACAACCCCUCAACGUACUAACAGUAACCAGACCCAAUAUAAUUGAUAAAUGGACCAAGCUACCCCAGGGAUAACAGCGCAAUCUCCUCUAAGAGCUCACAUCGACGAGGAGGUUUACGACCUCGAUGUUGGAUCAGGACAUCCUAAUGGUGCAACCGCUAUUAAGGGUUCGUUUGUUCAACGAUUAACAGUCCUACGUGAUCUGAGUUCAGACCGGAGCAAUCCAGGUCGGUUUCUAUCUAUGACGAACUUCUCCUAGUACGAAAGGACCGGAGAAGUGGGGCCAAUACUACAAGCACGCCUCCUCUUUAAGUAAUGAAUUCAACUAAAUUACUAAAAGACCUCCACCUCCUAUAUCCUAGAAAAGGAUCA
This 1596-nucleotide ribosomal RNA is filed under the name Calidris pygmaea (Spoon-billed sandpiper). RNAcentral describes it as "16S ribosomal RNA". It matches the Rfam family "Bacterial large subunit ribosomal RNA". The record is from RNAcentral. Lineage: Eukaryota; Metazoa; Chordata; Aves; Charadriiformes; Scolopacidae.